AGAGUCUCUCAAUAAAAGUUACCUGUUAGGGAAAGUCUAUUGACUACUUUGUCUCUACUCAUCCUGCUCUGUGGACAAAGCUGCAAUCUGGAUGCCUCAAGCUUAUUGUCUCCACAUGAUAUUCCAGCACCUCAUUUUUCUAGGAUCACAUCUGCUCCUUCAAACACUCCGUUAUGAACCACACUCCCAUUUUCCAUAUUGCUACUGCAAUUUCCACAGCCCCAGUGCCCCCUGUGAUUUAAUAAGUGAAGGCCUUUCUUUUACAAAUCUCUAGGAAAAGGUUUCCUCAAAUAGCUUACGAGUCCUGGUGCAGACCUGCCUCUGCCCUAGCAAGUGGCAGAGGCUGCAGCGCCUUUCCCGUUCCUGAGGCGGCAGUAUUCUUGCCUCCCUGUCUUACUCCGUUGUGGGAGCAGGAACAGAAAAGUUCUCUUCAGCAGAGCAUGGAAUAGCCUCCUUUGGGAACGGAUGGAAAGUGAGAUUAAGCAGAAGAAAGAGAAGAGGAAAAAGGAGGCAAUGGGGUGACCAGAUCUGCACACAGAAUUCAAGAUGUGGACAUACCAUGGAUUUAUAUAGAGCCAUCACUUGUUCUUGAUGCUCGUAAUCUUACGGCAAGCGCACAGAGAAAAGCACCACAGUCAAAAUGAGGCAUAGACUCCAUACAGGAUCAGGUGCUUCAGAGGAACACUACAGUAGGCAGACAUGGGAUAAUCUGACAUCAUGAAGGUCUCAUCCUAAACUACAGUACAGAUUGGUUUCAACCCUGAAGUAUGAAGUUUUUUCUCCUUUCCACAAUUAUUUGUUAGCAUGAACUAUAACAGUUCUGGCUAUUGUCAUUAUCUGUAUAAAUGUCCUAUACCUCUUUCAAUCUCACUGCAUUCUUGGUUUCAACAUUAUCAUGUUGCAAUAUGUUCCACAGUCUAAUUAUGUGUUGUCUGAAAAAGUAUCUCUCUAUCAGUUUUGAAUUUAUCACACUUUAUUUUCAUGUAACAUCCCUUGGCUAAUUACACAGGGAGAACAGAACCUACUCUCUACCUUCGUUAGGCCAUUUAUUAUUCUAUAUAUUUUUAUCAUGCCCCCUCUUGCUCAUCUUUUCUUCGGUGAACAAUCCCAAUCUUUUCAAUCUCUCUUCAUAUCAGAGUCUUUUCAUACCUCUAAUCAUUUUCAGCUCCCUUUAAUUCUGCAGUGUCCUUUCUGAGAUGGGGUGACCAGUGCUGCACAUGAGGCAACACCAUUGCAUAUUCUAACACCGUGGGGGUUUUUUUUUUGUUUUACUUCAGUUGCACAUUGACCAGUGGUCUUUACUGAGUUGAGGUGAUACAGUCAACUUAGUACACUGCAAUAUGUAUGAGCAGUUUAAAUUUUUUCUUCCAAUCUGCAUUAUUUUACGUUUAUCAACACUGAACUUCAUCUACCAUAUUGUCCAUUCAUGUGAGUCCCUCUGAAGUUCUUCACAAUCUUCUCUGCACUGCAACUAGGUAAUUUUGUGUCUACACUAUCUACCACAACCUCUACCUUCAGAUACAAGAUCUCUGACUCCCCGUUAUAUGUUUUGUUAAAUAUGCCAGCCCAGAAGUCUCAAAACGUGUAUGUCUAAAUUUAGGCUCCUGAAUCUGUAUUUAGACAUCUACAUGAAGGUGGCCUGAUUGUCCAAGGUGCUUAGCAUCCGCGAAUUCCACUGAAGUCAAUGGGAGCUCCAAAUACUCUGACUCUGAAAAACCAAGACGCUUUUAUUUACAUGCCUAAAUACAGAUUCGGAUGCCUAAAUUUAGGCACUCCAGUUUAGAUAUUUUGUGUAAAAUUUUCAAAAGCAUCUCAGUGACAUGGGAUCCUAAAUCCUAUUUUCAAAAGCACCUCAGUUGCUUUUCAAAGUAUUACCUUUUAUCCUUAAGCUAUAAGAAAGUUGGAUCCCGGAAUGCAGAGAGAAGAAAUAACAUGAAGGCUACGGGGCUGUUAAAAAUUGUGUACCAAAGUGCUUUGAAAUGCGUUUGUGUUACUACAAUAUUUAAGAAAGUCAUAAUAUAAAGAAACCUAUAAUUGCUCCUUUCUCCCACCUGUUGUUGGUUUGAUCUACGGAGGAUGUAAGCUCUUCAGGGUAAGGAUUUUCUCUUCCUAUGUGAACGUACAGCACCUAGCAUAAAAGGGCCCCCAUGUAAUGUUGAUGAGGAAUCCUAGGUGUUACUGUUCGACAAAUAAAACAGUAAUCUUCAUGGUACUGAACUGAAUCUAAGACCUUGGCUAUCAACAUGACCGUAUGAGAACCGGAAUUUUACUCUUUUCAUAAAGACCUUAUGCUAACAUCACAUGCAAGGUAUUUUAAUACAGUAAGUGUCCUAUUUAUGGAGAGAUUUCUCGCUAACAAGUAGGUAAAAUUCUUAUUCUUUGUUCUCACUUUAAUUGAGCAAGACACACAAUAGAUACAUUUGUUUUGCUUAUUAGUUUGCAUUCAUGCAUACUCAUCUGAAUGUGGAAACAUGCUUCGUUUGAACUCUGUACCUCAAUAGACAAUUUUUCCCCUUGUAAUUUUUAAUACCUUUUUAUUCUAAAAUAAUCUCUGCAGAUUCCCAUGACUGCUAGCCAAAUCUUGCAUAACCCAUUGGAUGAAAAGCCCGUUUUAUGGGUCAAAGUGACUUAGUUCAAAUCUUUGAAGGGUUAUUUUUUAGAAGAAAUUCUUUGUAACGGGCCCCAUGACUUCUAUUCUUAGUGUCAAAAUUAAUCAUUAUUUUUUGGUACUUAGUUAGAGAGAUAAUCCACAUUUAGAAAAAAAACAUUUAAACAACUUUCAGUCUGAGCAGCAAAACAUAACAUACAGUAAAGAAAAAUUCAGUGCAAUAAUUUUUGCCUGUGUACUAAAUGGAAAGGAGCCAAAUGAGGACCAUAUAGUCAAACCUUUUUGAACUUUAUGGGAUGUUUAACCUUCAGUAUCUGGAUGCAAGCCUUCCCACUACAGUUUUGGUUCUGACUGGAUUGAUUUUUUGGUGACAACUCAUCUGACGGAGAUCUCAAACAGCUAGGACAAUGAAAACCUAUUCACAUGAAUGUAUCUCGGGGGGUUUUGCUAUUCAGGAUCAAAAUCUCAUGAGAUUGCUUCAUUAAAUUACAGUGCCUUCCAAUCCAGAUCAAACCUGAACCAUAGCCCACCUCACUGCAGCCAAAUUAAAAUAUUGCCCCGAGCAAAGCAUUCCUCUGUCAACCGCUGAACCUGCUAGUAUGACACAAGAACUUGAAAUGUGUGACAAAUGAGAUGUGGAACAUCUGCAGGGGUUCUGCAUGCCACCCUAUAUUAUAGAUUAUAUUUAAUUAUAAAACAUGUUUUCGAUUAGAUUUUCUUACUGUGUGAAUUAAAUAAACUAGUUCUAUCUUGUGGAACCAUAAACCCCAUCCCAAUACGGGUCAUCAACAAGGUCACAGACCUUAAACACAGGCGCCUACGCUUGA
Chelonia mydas (Green sea turtle) is the source of this 3435-nucleotide long non-coding RNA. RefSeq lists it as uncharacterized. NCBI's taxonomy places the organism in Eukaryota, Metazoa, Chordata, Testudines, Cheloniidae. The transcript is spliced from 3 exons. The record is from RefSeq and is a predicted model, not a curated record.